CAAGUGUUUUGUGAAAGUGUUAUUGUGUUUUAAGUGUUAUUUUGCCAACAUGUUUUGAAAAAUGAUUUUAAUAAGUGAACAUUGAUCGUUAUCGAGCUAAGUCGUUCCGAAAGCACCUGCAUAAUGCUAGGCUUCUAGGUGCCCAUGCAUAACCGUUCCAUUUCCGGGUGCAUGGGAAUGUGUUAAGUAUUAAUUGUGCGCCUAUGCAUACACAAUA
This 217-nucleotide long non-coding RNA is filed under the name Carica papaya (papaya). RNAcentral's name for it is "long non-coding RNA (CPAP_LNC009965)". The record is from RNAcentral. Lineage: Eukaryota; Viridiplantae; Streptophyta; Magnoliopsida; Brassicales; Caricaceae.